This is a long non-coding RNA of Aethalodelphis obliquidens (Pacific white-sided dolphin), 633 nucleotides long. RefSeq lists it as uncharacterized. Lineage: Eukaryota; Metazoa; Chordata; Mammalia; Artiodactyla; Delphinidae. The transcript has 3 exons. The record is from RefSeq and is a predicted model, not a curated record.
CUUGCAAGCCUCAUCCCUCUGCCUGGACAGGUCCAAUGGGCCCAGGCAGAAUGGGCUGCAGGUGAGACCAGUCAUCCCCCUGCCCUCACCAGAAGCCCCAGCCCGGGCCAGAAACCCGAUGGAACCUAGCUGCUCUCUUUAUUUGACCCUCCAGUCAAGUAUCUGGACUGCUGGGCCAAAGGUCAUCUUUUUCUCUGACGUCUCUGCCUGGGCCCGCACAUGCUUGGUGACAUGGAAUAAUGGAUGCACAGAUGUCCAGGAGAGUCUGCUUGCUAUGAACGCCGUGGAAUAGAGAGCCUAUGAAGCCCUCAAGAACCUAGCCGGGGGGAAGUCCAGGCACUUUCAAAUGAGGAAGGGGUUCCCAGAAGCCCAAGGAAGGUGGCCAACAGCUGUAAAUCUCUCUCAUGACACGGCUUUGCAGACAGUGAGCGCGUUGAAGGGGUCUCAAAGACCUGGAUGCCACCUGCCUCAAAUGAAAGUAUGUGAGAUGUGAUAAAUAGCUUCCAGGCUCAUCGAUUUUACUCUUGGAAGUGUAUGGGGGAAGUUUAGUAAUUUAAGGUAUUUUUUUUUUUGCGGUACACGGGGCUCUCACUGCUGUGGCCUCUCCCGUUGCGGAGCACAGGCUCCGGACGU